Long non-coding RNA from Pantherophis guttatus, 944 nucleotides. RefSeq lists it as uncharacterized. Lineage: Eukaryota; Metazoa; Chordata; Lepidosauria; Squamata; Colubridae. The record is from RefSeq and is a predicted model, not a curated record.
GGCUUGUUCUCCAGCAAGGUGGGCAACGCUCCAGAGACAUUGCUUUUUCUUCAUGAGGUUUCUUUGGCUAGGAGCAGUGAAUCAGCAGAGAAGUGAAUUUUAAAUAUGAAUCUUGAUCUGCAUCUGUGAAAGAAUGUAGAGCUGAUCUUGGAAAAGGAGAAGAAAUGAUCAAAUGGAGUUUCAGAAAAGGUUAUUCGGUCACACACAAAGUGUGUGAGAGACAAGAAUCCUCAGACCAUCCUAGACAAAUGACUAUCAAAUUUUGCUUAAACGCAGCUAUGAUUUCAAGAGCUUUGGAGACUUCAGGACUGUAUUGAAGAUAAAUGAAUUGACAAAGAAAAGGAACUUGGAAAUGACCUCAGACAGCAAAUUAACCUUGAUACAUUCAGAACAGUAACCUAAUACAGUUACAAUUUUAUUCCUGAUCUUUUGUAUUUGCCUUUAAUAUGAACAAUUCAUCAACAGAUAUGACGGUUCAUGCAUUUAAAAAGUAGAAAUCUGCAAAAGAGUUUGGACAUUGCACUUUCCACCUAAAUGAAAAAUGAAAACACUACUGAUCUAAUUUCAAGAAUUGCCAUUAUUAACAACCACCAUACCUGCUCACCCAUCCUUCAACAAAUAAACAUUAUACUUAAUAGAAUAAGUACAUACAUCAUCCCAGUUUCACAUAUGCUAAAUCUCAUUUAUGAAUAUUUUCUUUCCCUUAUUAAUGAAAAGCUUUGCUGUAAUGACUUUGCAGGAUAAACAACAGUUUUUGAAAAUCAACAGUCUAACAAGAUGGAAUUAUAAUUUCCUAGUAUUGCUGAGAAAAUGCAGGUGUUAAUGUGAUAAUUUAUGUAAGUGUGAAAUAUGGCAUCUUUACUGUAUGGAUUGAUCAUGUAAACAGUUUUUUUUUCAUUAUAACAUUGAGCAUUAUUGCUUUAUUAAAAGGUUUAUUAGUAUAA